This 73-nucleotide transfer RNA is filed under the name Penicillium roqueforti FM164. RNAcentral describes it as "tRNA-Arg (TCT) (tRNA-Arg-TCT-1-1)". It matches the Rfam family "tRNA". From Rfam's summary of the family: Transfer RNA (tRNA) molecules are approximately 80 nucleotides in length. Their secondary structure includes four short double-helical elements and three loops (D, anti-codon, and T loops). The record is from RNAcentral. Lineage: Eukaryota; Fungi; Ascomycota; Eurotiomycetes; Eurotiales; Aspergillaceae.
GCCGGGCUGGCGCAAUUGGCAGCGCAUCAGACUUCUAAUCUGGGGGUUGGGGGUUCGAGCCCCCCGUCUGGCU